This is a long non-coding RNA of Dermochelys coriacea (leatherback sea turtle), 2728 nucleotides long. RefSeq lists it as uncharacterized. The record is from RefSeq and is a predicted model, not a curated record. NCBI's taxonomy places the organism in Eukaryota, Metazoa, Chordata, Testudines, Dermochelyidae. The transcript has 2 exons.
UGUUAGACUUGCCAGUGGGUGCUCAGAACCUUAAAAAAAAAACCCAAACAGAUAUUUAAUGCCUCCACAUGUACACAAAAAAAAAGCUGAUAUAUUGGCAAGUACAGUAACAACUCACUUAAGGUUGUAGUUAUGUUUCUGAAAAAUGUGACUAAGUGAAACUAUGUUAAGCGAAUCCAAUUUUCCCCAUAAGAAUUAAUGUAAAUGGGGGGGGGGUUAGGUUCCAGGGAAAUUUUUUUUGCCAGACAAAAGGCGUUAUAUACACUUUAGACAAGCAAUUUAAUAAAGGUAUAAGUUUUAAACAAUUUUAAAUAAACCAUUUAAUAUUACAGUCAUCACUGCUGAGUGUGAAGCUUGGUGGGGGGAUAGUGUGCAGAUGCUGUGUGUUUACAAACAUACUGUACAUAUAGUACAGUAUUAUAGUUGUGAGGUGCCCGUCCUUACCCCACACAGGCACAGUGCACUGGCACUGGAGACAAUGAGGUAGGCUUUUGAAAUGAAGCUUAAUGCUUCAGCUCACUCUGCUUCCUAUAUGUCAUUCACAAAAGAUGGAACAGAGGUAGAAUUGUGCCUAAAUACAUUCACUACCCCCCGCCCCUGAAAAGGAAGUAAGCUAAGAGAGUAAAGAGGUUUGUGGGAAGAUAAAGGUACGGAGGUAUUCAAAACCUCAUAUGCUGAGCAGUCAGCCAUGAGCUGUAUUUUCUUUUCAAUUUAAUUUUAUAAAUAAUUAUGUAUUUAUUACCUUACAAAAACUGUUCCAUACAAUGAGAACUUUAUAGUGUAUAGUAUAGCCCAGAACAAAAUGUAUUGCCAAGUUUUGAAAACCCCUCUUAUAGAAAGGAUUUGUAAUGAAAAGAGUAACACCUCUUAGCUGAUAGCUGCACUGUAAGUGCUGCUUUAAUAAUAUGUUUUCUUUCCAGAGGUCAUGUGUGCAUUGUUUAAUUUCUUAAAGCUGAAUUCUUAGUGCAUGUGCCAGAGUAAAUUUUUAUUGUUAAUAUCACCAUGAAAAUACACAAAUGAGCCCAUUACAUCUCAGUAACUCCACAUUAACUUGGCAGCCCUGGUCUAGGAAAGUGAAGGCAAAAUUAGAAAGCUAGCCUAUUUAUUCAAUACUGACAGAAUUUCCAACGCUCAGUACAAAUAAAAAUGCUAGUGUUGCCUUCAUAUUAGGUCAGAUUCUUAUUUGUCAGUACCCUUGCUAAAUCCAGAUACCACCAUCUGACAAUGGGUCUUUAUGGGCCAGGGUGCACAGAUAUUAUAGCAUCACUUCUUCCUACUCGUAUUGAAGUAGUAUUGAAAUUCUUAUUGAAUGUGAAAACACUGGUUUUCAAAUUACUUGGCCUUUUAGGAUUUUCCCAACAUAGCUGUCAGGCUUUUAUUUAAAUAUUUAUCUAAUAAUUUUGUGGGGACUGUGCUCAUAAAACCUUUUCUAUUUCCUCUUUUCAUCCUGUCCCCCUACUGCUGUAGCAAAUUCAGUAACCUGUCGUCCUUGCUUCUGUUAUAUUAUAGCGGGCUUAGGUAGUACUAGCCAAUAUAUGUAAAGACUCCCUAAAAGACCAUUUGUGUUGUAGUAUUAUUAAAACAUCUGUGAUGUUCUAUCGGAAGUGUGGGCAGACAGUACACACGUGAAUUAUUGAUGAUUUUUGUACCAUGAAUAAUCGCUCUUCUCUUCUAGUGAAAUUUAAUUCAGUUGUUUUAACCAAAGCAAAAAGAAAAAGGAUACCCCAGCAACACCUCACCAUGUGACUCUGUUUUGUACUUUACUUUUAUAAGGGGCUGGGGGGGGGGGGAGCCGAGUUACUUUUACUUGGCCGUAAGACACUUUCUCUGAUGAAACCUGGCAAAUAAAUUCUUGGGUUAGGAGCAAAGCAAUUUUUUUAAAAAAAGUUUAGAAAUCUAUUUCCUGAAGUUGGCUGAAACUGUGAUCUUCUAUAUAUUUUCAGACACUUUUUAUACUUCUGAAUCCAAAAAUCAUUUGCAGGUUUUUUUCCAAAUAGGAAAUUUUCAAAUCAUUAGUUUAUAAAUAACAUCCUAGUUAUUUCUGUGCAUGCACAGGGGUAUUUUUAAAAAUAAUUUCCAUGAGAAUUUACAGUGCAUUUGCACAACAGCUGCAUUGACUCAUGCCAGGGAGAGGCCUGCCAAAUUUGAUUCAUUUUGGGUUUUUUGCAUUAAUUUAAAAGCAAGUUUUAAAAUGAAGGAUUUUAUACUGAGUUUCAGGGAGAUUUUAAAAAUCUUCUUUGAAUUUGCUCACUAUGGUUCUCAUAGAGAGCCCUGCAGUAAUGCAUGGAGUAAGAAGAGUUAACAAAACAUAGAUUUUAUCAACUCCUAAGGAGCAUCUGCAAAAUUAUUAAUUCCCUGCAGUUACACAGCAGUUUUCACCCAGAGAUCUCUCAUACAUCUUUACAGACGUACAUCACCUUCAUUUUACGGCUGAGGAAAACGAGGCACAGAAAGCUUAAAUGCCUUGCCCAAGAUCAGGCAGCAAAUAAGUUGCAGUGUGUGGAGUAAGAGCUACAGUCACCUGCUUCCCAGUCACUUAAUCAGACCACUAGGUCAUAGCUCCCUUUCCAUGCAGAUUUUCCCUUGGAAAAAUAUAUAACGCACAAUCUGUUACAGAGGGAAUGUCAGUCAGAGCACACACAAAAAUAAAUAGCUAUCACAUUUCCCAGAGUACUAAAAUAGUAAUUGGGGAACGCAGGAUAGGGGACAAUGGAAAAGGAGAUCAGGA